AGGGUGCAGAGGGGUCACCGAGGGCCCCGUCCACCAGGACCUCCGAGGGGCUGGGUGCGGCGGAGAGAGAAGUAUCUCAGGAGACUGCAGGACUCGGUUUACAUCCGGUUUAAUCUGUACUUGAAGGUGUGGGAUGUUAGUGGGAAAGAGGCAGAGGAUGAGGGGCCUGGCGGCGGACAGCAGCGCUGCCUGCCCCUGGGACUGGCCUGGGGCCCCCGAGAGUGAGUAAUGACAGAGGAGGGCGCUGUCCGAGAAGGCAGAGAAUCGCCGGGGUGCAUCCCCGGGGGGACCUUGCUGACCCCCCCAGCCUGGAGGACCCCA
Molecule: long non-coding RNA, 321 nt
Organism: Myotis brandtii (Brandt's bat)
Lineage: Eukaryota; Metazoa; Chordata; Mammalia; Chiroptera; Vespertilionidae
Exons: 2
Source: RefSeq, a predicted model, not a curated record